Molecule: ribosomal RNA, 253 nt
Filed under: uncultured bacterium
Lineage: Bacteria
Description: partial 16S ribosomal RNA
Rfam family: Bacterial small subunit ribosomal RNA
Source: RNAcentral
GACGAACCGAGCGAACGUUGUUCGGAAUCACUGGGCUUAAAGGGCGCGUAGGCGGGCUGUCAAGUCUGGGGUGAAAUCCCACGGCUCAACCGUGGAACUGCCUUAGAUACUGACGGCCUCGAGGGAGAUAGGGGCGAGCGGAACUGUGAGUGGAGCGGUGAAAUGCGUUGAUAUCGAUAGGAACUCCGGUGGCGAAGGCGGCAUACUGGUCCACUUCUGACGCUGAGGCGCGAAAGCCAGGGGAGCAAACGGG